UUAUUUUUUCAUGGUUCGGUUUCUCGACGCGAGACCACGUAUCGAGAGUUUCAUCGGGAUAAACGCGAUCGUAUUCGAAGAAGACAUGGCGCCGAUUUAACGUCAGUUAAGAUUAAGUCGAGUAGGUACCACUGAAGGUGCGCCGCAUUAAGUAUUCUCCGGUUGAAGUGGUUCGCCUUCUUCGCUGUGCCUCUGUAAUCUGCAUCGACGCGACGCGCGACGCCUCAAUGUACAGCACGAGCCAAAUGUGGAGCGAACGAUGCGAAUAGAAUUUCUAUAUGACUACAAGAAGUUGAUACACACUGUGAAAAUGAAGUGUAGAGCCUGUUUAAAAAAUGCUUCAUUGGAGAAUAGGAAUACGUGCAAAUACUAUUUACGUA
RNAcentral lists this unclassified non-coding RNA (380 nucleotides) under Bombus terrestris (buff-tailed bumblebee). RNAcentral's name for it is "misc RNA ENSBTSG00005020076.1". The record is from RNAcentral. Lineage: Eukaryota; Metazoa; Arthropoda; Insecta; Hymenoptera; Apidae.